RNAcentral lists this ribosomal RNA (169 nucleotides) under uncultured marine bacterium. RNAcentral describes it as "partial 16S ribosomal RNA". It matches the Rfam family "Bacterial small subunit ribosomal RNA", at positions 338 to 524 of the family's 1533-position model. The record is from RNAcentral.
CCUACGGGAGGCAGCAGUGGGGAAUAUUGCACAAUGGGGGCAACCCUGAUGCAGCGAUGCCGCGUGAGUGAAGAAGGCCCUUGGGUUGUAAAGCUCUUUCGUCGGGGAAGAAAAUGACUGUACCCGAAUAAGAAGGUCCGGCUAACUUCGUGCCAGCAGCCGCGGUAAU